GAUGAACGCUGGCGGCGUGCCUAAUACAUGCAAGUCGAGCGAACAGACGAGGAGCUUGCUCCUCUGACGUUAGCGGCGGACGGAUGAGUAACACGUGGAUACCCUACCUAUAAGACUGGGAUAACUUCGGGAAACCGGAGCUAAUACCGGCUGAUAUAUUGAACCGCAUGGUUAAAUAGUGAAAGACGGUUUUGCUGUCACUUAUAGAUGGAUCCGGGCCGGAUUAGCUAGUUGGUAAGGUAACGGCCUACCAAGGCGACGAUGCGUAGCCGACCUGAGAGGACGACCAGCCACACUGGGACUGGGACACGGGCCCGACUCCUACGGGAGGCAGCAGUGGGGAAUUUUGGACAAUGGGCGGAAGCCUGAUCGAGCAAAGCCGCGUGGGGGAAGAAGGGCUUCGGGUUGUAAAACGCUUUUGAUAGGAAAGAAACAAUGUCCGAUAAAACCGGGCGCUAAUGACGGUACCUGAAGAAGAAGCACCGGCUAACUACGUG
This 497-nucleotide ribosomal RNA is filed under the name uncultured bacterium. Its description in RNAcentral is "partial 16S ribosomal RNA". It matches the Rfam family "Bacterial small subunit ribosomal RNA", at positions 28 to 507 of the family's 1533-position model. The record is from RNAcentral.